Molecule: ribosomal RNA, 439 nt
Filed under: uncultured bacterium
Lineage: Bacteria
Description: partial 16S ribosomal RNA
Rfam family: Bacterial small subunit ribosomal RNA
Source: RNAcentral
CUACGGGAUGCUGCAGUGAGGAAUAUUGCACAAUGGGGGGAACCCUGAUGCAGCAACGCCGCGUGGAGGAUGACGCAUUUCGGUGUGUAAACUCCCUUUAUAUGUCAAGAAAAUGACGGUAGCAUAUGAAUAAGCACCGGCUAACUCCGUGCCAGCAGCCGCGGUAAUACGGAGGGUGCAAGCGUUACUCGGAAUCACUGGGCGUAAAGGACGCGUAGGCGGGUUGGAAAGUCAGGUGUGAAAUCCUACAGCUUAACUGUAGAACUGCACUUGAAACUUCUAAUCUAGAGUAUGGGAGGGGGAGAUGGAAUUAGUGGUGUAGGGGUAAAAUCCGUAGAUAUCACUAGGAAUACCUAAAGCGAAGGCGAUCUCCUGGAACAUUACUGACGCUAAGGCGUGAAAGCGUGGGGAGCAAACAGGAUUAGAUACCCGAGUAGUC